AAGUCAUGUUAAGGCAGAUCACCCAUCUCCAGAUUGGUCCAGCUCAGGCUGUCUGGAGCGAACGCCAACUUUAAUCCAACCUGCCAUGGGAGAGUGGGGCCAAGACAACGUGCUUUACUACCUCAGCUGCUCCAAGUUCUCAAGCAAACAGCCUUCCCACGCACCUCUUCCCUGUCACUGGCAUCAUUGAACAUUACGAUAUUUUCUCUGUGUUUGCUGAUGGAUGAUGGGCCCUCAUUGCUAUGCGAGUGCCAGAUGAAUCAUAAACCUAUACCAUAUGCCAUCGCAAUUUGCUGAUGGGCCCAAGCUGUUUUGGUCGAUAUAAAAUCCAGUGAUUAUAAAUACUUUAUCCUUGGUGAAUAUGAAAAAAGCACAAGGUGGGAUGGGCCCAGCCUUUCUUAUGGCUUCUAGCAUGGGUCAGCAGGUGAUGAAACAGAUCAACUCUCCAACAUUUUCUGGGCUUGGGAUGAGAAACCACACAAACAAGCUGAAAGGCCCUUGGUCGCAUCCAGGGUGUAUUCCUGCCUUACAUCCAGUGUUCAAGGGUCCGGAUCCACCGCGACCCUGACCAGGGUAAAGCAGUCACUGAAAGUAAGCGACACACGCGGACAUGGCCAGCCACAUGAUGUAAAAAGAAAUGUGAUUCAUCAGACCAGUCCACCUUCUUUCUUCCACCUUCUUUGCUCCACAGUUCAGUUCUGAUGCUCACGUGCCCAUUGCAGCCACUUUCAGUGGUGGACAGGGGUCAGCAUGGGCACUCUGACUGGUCUGCAGAUACACAGCCCCAUAAGCAGCAACCUAUGAUACACUGUGUGUUCUGACACCUUUCUAUCAUAGCCAGCAUUAAAUUUUUCAGCAAUUUGUGCUAAAGUAGCUCUUCUGAGGGAUCAAUCAGACAGGCUAGCCUUCAUUCCCCAAGCACAUCAAUAAGCUUUGGGUGCCCAUGACCCUGU
This is a long non-coding RNA of Ictalurus punctatus (channel catfish), 953 nucleotides long. Lineage: Eukaryota; Metazoa; Chordata; Actinopteri; Siluriformes; Ictaluridae. The record is from Ensembl.